UAGAGUUUGAUCAUGGCUCAGGACGAACGCUGGCGGCAUGCCUAACACAUGCAAGUCGAACGAGAAAGUUCCUUCGGGAGCGAUUAAAGUGGCGCACGGGUGAGUAACGCGUAGACAAUCUGCCCUUCAGUCUGGGACAACUUUUCGAAAGGAGAGCUAAUACCGGAUGACAAUGUAACACAUAAGUGUCACAUUUGAAAGCUCCGGCGCUGAAGGAGGGGUCUGCGUCCCAUUAGCUAGUUGGUAAGGUAAAGGCUUACCAAGGCGACGAUGGGUAGCGGGUUUGAGAGGACGAUCCGCCACACUGGAACUGAGACACGGUCCAGACUCCUACGGGAGGCAGCAGUGGGGAAUAUUGCACAAUGGAGGCAACUCUGAUGCAGCAAUGUCGCGUGAGUGAAGAAGGCCCUUGGGUCGUAAAGCUCUUUUAUGGGGGAAGAUGAUGACGGUACCCCAAGAAUAAGCACCGGCUAACUACGUGCCAGCAGCCGCGGUAAUACA
RNAcentral lists this ribosomal RNA (501 nucleotides) under uncultured SAR324 cluster bacterium. RNAcentral describes it as "bacterial SSU rRNA". It matches the Rfam family "Bacterial small subunit ribosomal RNA", at positions 1 to 527 of the family's 1533-position model. Lineage: Bacteria; Deltaproteobacteria. The record is from RNAcentral.